AUAUAGUUAUUCAUGAACUUACGAUGACCACUGGCAUCAUACUCGAGGAAUUGACUCAUAAUAUUCCCCAAACUUUUAGUCAAAUUUUGCGAAGCAAAACCCAUCCGAAGAUCAUGGAUCUAAACCAUAAAUCUGUAUGCAGAAACUCAACCUGCUCCAGAUCUUCUCCUUUUUCUAGUUUAUGAAUCAAUAACAAAACCC
This 201-nucleotide long non-coding RNA is filed under the name Gossypium raimondii (Peruvian cotton). RNAcentral describes it as "long non-coding RNA (GRAI_LNC006426)". Lineage: Eukaryota; Viridiplantae; Streptophyta; Magnoliopsida; Malvales; Malvaceae. The record is from RNAcentral.